GGGAAAAUCAAGGCUGAGGCGUGAUGACGAGGCACUACGGUGCUGAAGCAACAAAUGCCCUGCUUCCAGGAAAAGCCUCUAAGCAUCAGGUAACAUCAAAUCGUACCCCAAACCGACACAGGUGGUCAGGUAGAGAAUACCAAGGCGCUUGAGAGAACUCGGGUGAAGGAACUAGGCAAAAUGGUGCCGUAACUUCGGGAGAAGGCACGCUGAUAUGUAGGUGAGGUCCCUCGCGGAUGGAGCUGAAAUCAGUCGAAGAUACCAGCUGGCUGCAACUGUUUAUUAAAAACACAGCACUGUGCAAACACGAAAGUGGACGUAUACGGUGUGACGCCUCCCCGGUGCCGGAAGGUUAAUUGAUGGGGUUAGCGCAAGCGAAGCUCUUGAUCGAAGCCCCGGUAAACGGCGGCCGUAACAAUAACGGUCCUAAGGUAGCGAAAUUCCUUGUCGGGUAAGUUCCGACCUGCACGAAUGGCGUAAUGAUGGCCAGGCUGUCUCCACCCGAGACUCAGUGAAAUUGAACUCGCUGUGAAGAUGCAGUGUACCCGCGGCAAGACGGAAAGACCCCGUGAACCUUUACUAUAGCUUGACACUGAACAUUGAGCCUUGAUGUGUAGGAUAGGUGGGAGGCUUUGAAGUGUGGACGCCAGUCUGCAUGGAGCCGACCUUGAAAUACCACCCUUUAAUGUUUGACGUUCUAACGUUGACCCGUAAUCCGGGUUGCGGACAGUGUCUGGUGGGUAGUUUGACUGGGGCGGUCUCCUCCUAAAGAGUAACGGAGGAGCACGAAGGUUGGCUAAUCCUGGUCGGACAUCAGGAGGUUAGUGCAAUGGCAUAAGCCAGCUUGACUGCGAGCGUGACGGCGCGAGCAGGUGCGAAAGCAGGUCAUAGUGAUCCGGUGGUUCUGAAUGGAAGGGCCAACGCUCAACGGAUAAAAGGUACUCCGGGGAUAACAGGCUGAUACCGCCCAAGAGUUCAUAUCGACGGCGGUGUUUGGCACCUCGAUGUCGGCUCAUCACAUCCUGGGGCUGAAGUAGGUCCCAAGGGUAUGGCUGUUCGCCAUUUAAAGUGGUACGCGAGCUGGGUUUAGAACGUCGUGAGACAGUUCGGUCCCUAUCUGCCGUGGGCGCUGGAGAACUGAGGGGGGCUGCUCCUAGUACGAGAGGACCGGAGUGGACGCAUCACUGGUGUUCGGGUUGUCAUGCCAAUGGCACUGCCCGGUAGCUAAAUGCGGAAGAGAUAAGUGCUGAAAGCAUCUAAGCACGAAACUUGCCCCGAGAUGAGUUCUCCCUGACCCUUUAAGGGUCCUGAAGGAACGUUGAAGACGACGACGUUGAUAGGCCGGGUGUGUAAGCGCAGCGAUGCGUUGAGCUAACCGGUACUAAUGAACCGUGAGGCUUAAC
RNAcentral lists this ribosomal RNA (1403 nucleotides) under metagenome. Its description in RNAcentral is "bacterial LSU rRNA". It matches the Rfam family "Bacterial large subunit ribosomal RNA", at positions 1543 to 2925 of the family's 2925-position model. The record is from RNAcentral.